UUGGUGAGGUAACGGCUCACCAAGGCCAAGAUGUCUAGCAGGUGUGAGAGCACGACCUGCGCCACUGGCACUGGGACACUGGCCAGACUCCUACGGGAGGCUGCAGUCGAGGAUCUUCGGCAAUGGGCGCAAGCCUGACCGAGCGACGCCGCGUGUGCGAUGAAGGCCUUCGGGUUGUAAAGCACUGUCGGGGGGGAGAAAAGCCGCAAGGCUUGAUCGACCCCCGGAGGAAGCACGGGCUAAGUUCGUGCCAGCAGCCGCGGUAAGACGAACCGUGCGAACGUUGUUCGGAAUCACUGGGCUUAAAGGGCGCGUAGGCGGGCAGGCAAGUCAGGGGUGAAAGCCCACGGCUCAACCGUGGAAGUGCCUUUGAUACUGCUUGUCUUGAGGGAGGUAGGGGCGUGCGGAACUUCCGGUGGAGCGGUGAAAUGCGUAGAUAUCGGAAGGAACACCGGUGGCGAAAGCGGCGCGCUGGACCUCUACUGACGCUGAGGCGCGAAAGCCAGGGGAGCAAACGGGAUUAGAUACCCCGGUAGUCCUGGCCCUAAACGUUGGGUACUAGGUAGUGGACUUACAUGGGUUCACUGCCGAAGCAAAAGUGAUAAAUACCCCGCCUGGGGAGUAUGGUCGCAAGGCUGAAACUCAAAGGAAUUGACGGGGGCUCACACAAGCGGUGGAGCAUGUGGCUUAAUUUCGAGGCUACGCGAAGAACCUUAUCCUGGACUUGACAUGUGCGAAAGCGGUAGGAAGUAGCUCGCGGAAACGUGGGGCCAACGGUAACCAGCCCGGAACCUACUACAGUG
RNAcentral lists this ribosomal RNA (803 nucleotides) under uncultured bacterium. RNAcentral's name for it is "bacterial SSU rRNA". It matches the Rfam family "Bacterial small subunit ribosomal RNA", at positions 249 to 1014 of the family's 1533-position model. The record is from RNAcentral.